UGUAAAAGCAUACAAACCUGAAAAUUUUAUUGUUAAAGCUAUAUUCUAUGGGAAGCUUGUGGAAUGAUCACAAGUCCAGGUGUCAAUAUGUAAAUAUAAUCACAAUUCCGCCUUAUCGAUUCCAAAUCUCAACAAUACUUUACGUUUUGGGGACGACGUCGAAGAGAGGGAGCAAAAUGUCAACCGGAGAAGAGAAGGGCCCAAAGCUUCUGCGGCUGUUAUAUCUGGUCGGCGCCGGAAGUAAUUCAUCGUUUCCUCCUCCUCAUUCAUCCUUUUCCUACAUCUAUAAAUCCAUAUGCGUGUAAAAUCAGUAAUUUGAUUUAGAAUUGCCUUCGCUUAAUCAAAAAACCUGAUUGGGUAAUUGGUUGUAUCAGUCCUCUGUACGGCUGCGUUCAACAAGUGGAGAGGUAUCAGAAAAUCUGCGUUGCGACAUCAACGGCACCGGCGAUUGUUGGAGGAGCCAUCUAAAGCCGUUGACUGAUUAAUCGCACUCCAUGUUAGGGCUUCGUAUCGAUCCUAUCGGCGUCAGGAAACGAUUUCUUCUCUAAUCAACAAUUUUCUUAUUUCGUUUGCAUUUGGGUUUUGGAUUGAAUCGUUUCGUGUUGGUUUUUGUGUUGGUCGGAUCUUGAAUAAUACACCAAAAAUGUCAAUAUUUUGAUUCCUUUUUUUUUUUUUUUUUUUUUUUUUUUUUUCUCGUAUGAGUUUCAGAAAAAUUAAUUUGGUUUAACAAGAAUCGAGUAUCUGAAAUGUUCGAUUUGGUGAAUUUAAGUUUGAUUGAAAGUUUGAAACUGCUGAAGGCAGAUUGGCAGAUUGUGUAGGAAAGGAUGUUUUUCUUUUGGUAACAUAAUUUUAGAACCAAUAUUUGAAUUUAGAAACAAACACUUUUUAUUAGAAUUUUAUGCAAAAAUGGAACUAUUAUAUACUAUCAUUUGCA
Molecule: long non-coding RNA, 934 nt
Filed under: Lactuca sativa (garden lettuce)
Lineage: Eukaryota; Viridiplantae; Streptophyta; Magnoliopsida; Asterales; Asteraceae
Description: long non-coding RNA (LSAT_LNC007662)
Source: RNAcentral